ACGGGUGGGUAACACGUGAGUGACCUGCCUUUUAGACUGGAACAACUUACCGAAAGGUGAGCUAAUGCCGGAUGAGUUAUAUAAGUGCAUGUUUAUAUAGGAAAAGUUGGGGAGACCUGACGCUGAAAGAUGGACUCGCGUCCCAUUAGCUAGUUGGUAGGGUAAUGGCCUACCAAGGCGACGAUGGGUAGCCGGCCUGAGAGGGUGGCCGGCCACACUGGGACUGAGACACGGCCCAGACUCCUACGGGAGGCAGCAG
Molecule: ribosomal RNA, 259 nt
Filed under: uncultured bacterium
Lineage: Bacteria
Description: partial 16S ribosomal RNA
Rfam family: Bacterial small subunit ribosomal RNA
Source: RNAcentral